GGGGCAAAAUCAAGCUGCACUGCAGAACGACCCGUGAACGUGUUUUCACCGCACGGGGGAGUGGGGGUGCAUGCGCCCCCAGUCUCCCGACUCCGGCGGGAGGGGUGCAAUCAGAAUUGCCUCAUCUCUGCCGUCGGCUAAACAACCAACCCCGGCGCAGGACGCGCCAAGGAACAUGAACUGAAAAGAGCACGCUGCCGGAGGCCCCGAAAACGGUGCUGCCCGAGGCAAGCGUCGCCUUCUUUCGAGAACCAAAACGACUCUCGGCAACGGAUAUCUCGGCUCUCGCAUCGAUGAAGAACGCAGCAAAAUGCGAUACUUGGUGUGAAUUGCAGAAUCCCGUGAAUCAUCGAGUUUUUGAACGCAAGUUGCGCCUGAAGCCUUCUGGCCGAGGGCACGUCUGCCUGGGUGUCACGCAACCGUCGCCCCCAUCCCUUCGUCUCACCGGGGGGAUCUGGGGGCGGAAUAUGGCCUCCCGUGGGCAACGAGCUCGCGGAUGGCCUAAAAAUCAGAGUCCACGGCGACUGGCGCCAUGUCAAUCGGUGGUUGUAAAACUCUCUGACACUGCCGUGCGCUCCCGUCCGCCACGAGGGACCCUCGAGACCCCGACGCAUUCCUUAGGGCAAUGCUCCGACUGCGACCCCAGGUCAGGCGGGACUACCCGCUGAGUUUAAGCAUAUCAUAACCCCGGAAGAAAAAAGAUCAUUGUCGAAACCUGCACUGCAGAAC
Molecule: ribosomal RNA, 729 nt
Filed under: Chrozophora oblongifolia
Lineage: Eukaryota; Viridiplantae; Streptophyta; Magnoliopsida; Malpighiales; Euphorbiaceae
Description: eukaryotic LSU rRNA
Rfam family: 5.8S ribosomal RNA (bases 259-414)
Source: RNAcentral